This 77-nucleotide transfer RNA is filed under the name Candidatus Pacebacteria bacterium CG10_big_fil_rev_8_21_14_0_10_56_10. RNAcentral describes it as "tRNA-Arg". It matches the Rfam family "tRNA". Rfam says of the family: Transfer RNA (tRNA) molecules are approximately 80 nucleotides in length. Their secondary structure includes four short double-helical elements and three loops (D, anti-codon, and T loops). Lineage: Bacteria; Bacillati; Minisyncoccota. The record is from RNAcentral.
GCGCCAAUAGCUCAGCCGGAUAGAGCAACUGCCUUCUAAGCAGUAGGUCGCAGGUUCGAGUCCUGCUUGGCGCGCCA